RNAcentral lists this long non-coding RNA (1627 nucleotides) under Piliocolobus tephrosceles (Ugandan red Colobus). Its description in RNAcentral is "lncRNA (ENSPTEG00000016269.1)". Lineage: Eukaryota; Metazoa; Chordata; Mammalia; Primates; Cercopithecidae. The record is from RNAcentral.
CUAAAUGAAAUACUGGUUGUGAAUUAUAUUUGUAAUAAUAAAAAUAUAAUACACAUUGAAAAUAUAUUUUAUGAUAAAAAACAAGAUAUACUAGUGAUUAUUUUCCCAUACAUAAAAUAUCAAUCAAUGUAUUAUAAAAACAAAUAUAAUAUAUAUUCUGUUAAUAAAAAAAUAACCAUAGUAAAUAAAAAAAAGUUAAAAAUAUUUUUAUAUUCAGAAACGUUUAUUAAAAAUUUAUUUAUUAAGUUACAUACUAUUCUUAGCUAUUUAUUGAAAAAAAAUAUAGCAUAUGUAGAUUUUAAACCUGAUAACAUCCUUUUGAUAGAUAGAAAUCCCCAAAUAAUACAAACGUACACGAUUCAGUUAAAAAAACAAAAAAAAAAAUCGAAAAAAGAUAUAUUAGAACAGGAUAUGCAAUUACCAAAUAUAGAAACACUAAUGCAAAACGAAAUAAAUAAAAACACAAAUAAAAAAGUGGAAAAAAAAAAUGAUAGUAAAGAUAUCACAACUUUAUUCAACAAAAACAUUUUUGCUAAUAAAAAAAAAAAAAAAUACAUAUAUAUGAAUAUAUCAUCCUAUUGCUCUUAUUAUAAUUUAAGUACUAAGAAAAUAAAAAAUAACAAAAUUAAAUACAUAUAUAAUAUUAAUUUAUCGAAAUGUUUUGAGUAUGAUCAAAAUGUAAAAAAUAUAUUUUUUAUAAAAAAUAAAUUAAAUGAUUUUUCUUUUUUGCUAGACAAUGUUGACAUAUUUAUACAAAUUUUUAUUCAAAAAAAAAAAGGGAAAAGCGAAAGAAAACAAACAAAUGAAGAAAAGUGGUUAGAUAAGAAAUGUAGUGCUGGUGAGUUAAGUAGCCAAAGUAGCACAAAUAAAUUAAACAGUUUUCGUUACCCCUGUUGUAGCAAAACACGCACAACAAACUUCCCUGUUCCAAAACGAUGUCCAAUAAACAAAAUACAAAAUAAAUCUUUUUUUAAAUAUGAUAAAAAAAAUUCCAUAAAUUUUUUAACUUUAUACUGGCUAUAUUUUAAUAAUGUCCCAAGUUUAAAUAUUAAUAAAGACAUAUUAACUUAUUUAGAUUUAUAUUUUAUAGAUAAAUAUUUUUGUAAAGACAUGCAUAUAUAUAUUCAUGAUUUAAGCAUUUAUAAACAGCCAACAUUUCAGAAAGACACUACUCAUAUGGACACAGAAAAAUUGUGUAAGAUUGAACACACUGCUAAACGCAACAUUAAUAGUGUUGCUACCAGUAGUGAUAAUGCGAAUUGCAAAAAAAAUAAAAUAAAUACUGAAAAAGGUAAAAAUUACGCACUAAAAAAACAGGUUACACAAGAAAAUCUUUGUUUGUCAGAAAAUUUUUCACAAAAUAUCAAUACGCAAGAUACAAAUUUAAUCAAAUUAAUAGAUUUCGAUACAUGUUUUUUCAUUCAAAAAAAUAAAAGUAUACAAACACGAACAACAGACAUUUUUAACUCUUUCGAAUGUUUAUUUAAUGUUAAUAACAACAACUUUGAUCUAUUCAAAAGAAUGUCAUAUAUCUUUGGUUCAGUCCUAUAUACAUUUGUAUAUGGAAAAACCCCAUACUUGUAAACACUUCAAUAUGAACAUAUUUAUUUUGUAUGAGCAACAUCAA